CCCUUCGAUGUUCGGAGCUGCACGCGCGCUACACUGUGGGUGGCAGCAUGUUAGCUUGCCUCGCUCGCAAGAGUGGGGUAAUCGUUUGAAAAUCCCACGUGAUUGGGAUAGGGACUUGUAAUUAUUUCCCUUGAACGAGGAAUCCCUAGUAAGUGCAGGUCAUCAGCUUGCGCUGAUUACGUCCCUGCCCUUUGUACACACCGCCCGUCGCUACUACCGAUUGAACGUUUUAGUGAGGUAUUUGGACUGGACCUUCGGAGGUUCGCGCCUCCGUUGCUGUUCGGGAAGACUCCCAAACUUGAGCGUUUAGAGGAAGUAAAANUCGUANCA
RNAcentral lists this ribosomal RNA (330 nucleotides) under uncultured eukaryote. RNAcentral describes it as "partial 18S ribosomal RNA". It matches the Rfam family "Eukaryotic small subunit ribosomal RNA", at positions 1470 to 1796 of the family's 1831-position model. The record is from RNAcentral.